This 1308-nucleotide ribosomal RNA is filed under the name uncultured rumen bacterium. RNAcentral's name for it is "partial 16S ribosomal RNA". It matches the Rfam family "Bacterial small subunit ribosomal RNA", at positions 47 to 1328 of the family's 1533-position model. The record is from RNAcentral.
GUUUUAGCAUGCAAGUCGAGCGGUAAGCCGGAGCAAUCCGGCCUAGAGCGGCGGACGGGUGAGUAACACGUGGAUAAUCUGGCCUACAGUUUGGGAUAGCCUGGUGAAAGCCAGGAUAAUACCGGAUACGACGGUUUGGUCACAAGACCGAAUCGGGAAAGGGGCUAAGGCCUCGCUGAAGGAUGAGUCCGCGUCCCAUUAGCUAGAUGGUGAGGUAAAGGCCCACCAUGGCGAUGAUGGGUAGCCGGCCUAAGAGGGUGAACGGCCACAUUGGGACUGAGAUACGGCCCAGACUCCUACGGGAGGCAGCAGCUAAGAAUCUUCCGCAAUGGUCGAAAGACUGACGGAGCGACGCCGCGUGAAUGAUGAAGGCCGUGAGGUUGUAAAGUUCUUUUCUGGAGGGAGAAUAAGUGGUGUAGGGAAUGACACCAUGAUGACGUGAAUCCAGGAAUAAGCCCCGGCUAACUACGUGCCAGCAGCCGCGGUAACACGUAGGGGGCAAGCGUUGUUCGGAAUUAUUGGGCGUAAAGGGUGCGCAGGCGGCUUGGCAAGUCUGCUGUUAAAUGGUUGAGCUCAACUCAAUCAUGCGGUGGAAACUAUCAAGCUAGAAUCAACGAAGGGAUGCCGGAAUUCCAGGUGUAGGGGUGAAAUCUGUAGAUAUCUGGAAGAACACCAAUGGCGAAGGCAGGCAUCUGGCGACUGAUUGACGCUGAGGCACGAAGGUGCGGGGAGCAAACAGGUUUAGAUAUCCUGGUAGUCCGCACAGUAAACGAUGUGCACUAGGUGGCGGGUAGCAGUACUCGGUACCGAAGCAAACGCAUUAAGUGCACCGCCUGGGGAGUAUGCUCGCAAGGGUGAAACUCAAAGGAAUUGACGGGGGCCCGCACAAGCGGUGGAGCAUGUGGUUUAAUUCGACGAUACGCGAGAAACCUUACCAGGGCUUGACAUAUACUGGAAUAUGGCGGAAACGUCAUAGCUGCUUGCAGUCGGUAUACAGGUGCUGCAUGGCUGUCGUCAGCUCGUGCUGUGAAGUGUUGGGUUAAGUCCCGCAACGAGCGCCACCCCCUGCCUUUAGUACCAUCAUUCAGUGGGGACUCUAAAGAACUGCCGGUGACAACCGGAAGAGGUGGGGGACGACGUCAAGUCAUCAUGGGCCUUACGUUCUGGGCACACACUGCUUCAAUGGCGGGUCGAGGCAGCGAUCGAAGAAGAGCGAUCGCAAGCCGUCAUCGACUGGGUGACGAACCCACUGGAUCUGAUCGUACCUGACAGGGUAGAUUCGGCGUGACUGACGGCACACUCGAGUUG